AGCGUAGACGGUGAGACAAGUCUGAAGUGAAAUCCCGGGGCUCAACCCCGGAACUGCUUUGGAAACUGCCUGACUGGAGUGCAGGAGAGGUAAGUGGAAUUCCUAGUGUAGCGGUGAAAUGCGUAGAUAUUAGGAGGAACACCGAUGGCGAAGGCGGUCUGCUGGCACAUCACUGACCCUCAGGGACAGAGUGUGGUAGCGAACA
This 205-nucleotide ribosomal RNA is filed under the name uncultured bacterium. RNAcentral describes it as "partial 16S ribosomal RNA". The stretch from base 3 to 184 matches the Rfam family "Bacterial small subunit ribosomal RNA", at positions 570 to 751 of the family's 1533-position model. The record is from RNAcentral.